UUUAUUGGAGAGUUUGAUCCUGGCUCAGGAUGAACGCUGGCGGCGUGCCUAAUACAUGCAAGUCGAGCGAAUGGAUUAAGAGCUUGCUCUUAUGAAGUUAGCGGCGGACGGGUGAGUAACACGUGGGUAACCUGCCCAUAAGACUGGGAUAACUCCGGGAAACCGGGGCUAAUACCGGAUAAUAUUUUGGACCUCAUGGUUCAAAAUUGAAAGGCGGCUUCGGCUGUCACUUAUGGAUGGACCCGCGUCGCAUUAGCUAGUUGGUGAGGUAACGGCUCACCAAGGCAACGAUGCGUAGCCGACCUGAGAGGGUGAUCGGCCACACUGGGACUGAGACACGGCCCAGACUCCUACGGGAGGCAGCAGUAGGGAAUCUUCCGCAAUGGACGAAAGUCUGACGGAGCAACGCCGCGUGAGUGAUGAAGGCUUUCGGGUCGUAAAACUCUGUUGUUAGGGAAGAACAAGUGCUAGUUGAAUAAGCUGGCACCUUGACGGUACCUAA
This 502-nucleotide ribosomal RNA is filed under the name Bacillus cereus. RNAcentral's name for it is "bacterial SSU rRNA". It matches the Rfam family "Bacterial small subunit ribosomal RNA", at positions 1 to 482 of the family's 1533-position model. The record is from RNAcentral. Lineage: Bacteria; Bacillati; Bacillota; Bacilli; Caryophanales; Bacillaceae.